This 468-nucleotide ribosomal RNA is filed under the name uncultured bacterium. RNAcentral's name for it is "partial 16S ribosomal RNA". It matches the Rfam family "Bacterial small subunit ribosomal RNA", at positions 28 to 507 of the family's 1533-position model. The record is from RNAcentral.
GACGAACGCUGGCGGCGUGCUUAACACAUGCAAGUCGAACGGAAAGGCCCUGCUUUUGUGGGGUGCUCGAGUGGCGAACGGGUGAGUAACACGUGAGUAACCUGCCCUUGACUUUGGGAUAACUUCAGGAAACUGGGGCUAAUACCGGAUAGGAUCUCCUGCUGCAUGGUGUUGGGUGGAAAGUUUCGGCGGUGGGGGAUGGACUCGCGGCUUAUCAGCUUGUUGGUGGGGUAGUGGCUUACCAAGGCUUUGACGGGUAGCCGGCCUGAGAGGGUGACCGGCCACAUUGGGACUGAGAUACGGCCCAGACUCCUACGGGAGGCAGCAGUGGGGAGUAUUGCACAAUGGGCGGAAGCCUGAUGCAGCAACGCCGCGUGCGGGAUGACGGCCUUCGGGUUGUAAACCGCUUUCGCCUGUGACGAAGCGUGAGUGACGGUAAUGGGUAAAGAAGCACCGGCUAACUACGUG